Molecule: ribosomal RNA, 694 nt
Filed under: uncultured Thiothrix sp.
Lineage: Bacteria; Pseudomonadati; Pseudomonadota; Gammaproteobacteria; Thiotrichales; Thiotrichaceae
Description: bacterial SSU rRNA
Rfam family: Bacterial small subunit ribosomal RNA
Source: RNAcentral
GCUGGCGGUAUGCUUAAGACAUGCAAGUCGUGCGGUAGAAGGCUUCGGCCUUUGAGAGCGGCGGACGGGUGAGUAACACGUGGGAAUCUGCCUAUUAGUGGGGGACAGCCCAGCGAAAGCUGGAUUAAUACCGCAUACGCCCUACGGGGGAAAGCAGCAAUGCGCUAAUAGAUGAGCCCGCGUAAGAUUAGCUAGUUGGUAAGGUAAAGGCUUACCAAGGCGACGAUCUUUAGCUGGUCUGAGAGGAUGGCCAGCCACAUCGGGACUGAGACACGGCCCGGACUCCUACGGGAGGCAGCAGUCGGGAAUAUUGGACAAUGGGCGCAAGCCUGAUCCAGCAAUACCGCGUGUGUGAAGAAGGCCUGCGGGUUGUAAAGCACUUUCAGUUGGGAAGAUAAUGACGUUACCAACAGAAGAAGCACCGGCUAACUCCGUGCCAGCAGCCGCGGUAAUACGGAGGGUGCAAGCGUUAAUCGGAAUUACUGGGCGUAAAGCGUGCGUAGGCGGCCUGUUAAGUCAGAUGUGAAAGCCCCGGGCUUAACCUGGGAACUGCAUCUGAUACUGGGAGGCUAGAAUGUGGGAGAGGAGAGUGGAAUUUCCGGUGUAGCGGUGAAAUGCAUAGAGAUCGGAAGGAACACCAGUGGCGAAGGCGGCUCUCUGGACCAACAUUGACGCUGAGGCACGAAAGCGUGGG